GUUGCUGCAGUGUUCACUCAGAUUUGGUAUAGUAUUCACCAGGUAAAGUAAACAUUAGGACAUUGCCUAGAUUUUUGGUUUUUAUUUUUUAUUUUUUGUGUCAAGGAUUAAGUAGGUAAGUAUUUCUUGAAAGGUAUAUGGUGGCUUUUUUUUCAAUUGUUUUUUGUGGUUAGCUUUAGUGCAAGUCUGCAAGAGUGCUAUAUAUUUCAGCUAUUUACACGAGCUGGUCAGUAAGUAUUGAUGCUUAUGAUAAUCUUAAUUAAGUUUUGGUGUUGCCAUCAGCUAGCUUGUUCCUUGGUAGGCUAUUUAUUGCCUAUGUCAAGGCUUAUGUGGAUAACCAAUUUGAAUCAUUCGUUAUAACUGCUGAAAAUGUUUCAUUAUUUGGGUACAAGUUCAGUCGUCAUUUGAGAAAAGCUUUUCCUUCUCAACUUUAAAUAAUUUCUAAAAACUUGUAGGGAAUCUGAUGUCAUUGUUUCAGAGAAAAAUGGAAUUGAGGAUUGAUCAAAUGAGUGGUUAGCUUUUGAUCUUGUUUAAUUAUGACAAAUCGGUUAUGCGUUUGAGAGUAAGCAUGGCCACAGUCUGAUUCUAGGUCGGUAAAACUGGACUGAUGGAUUCUGAUUCCCAAUGGUACCGGUUCAUUGUCGGUCCAAGCUGGGUGUUCAGGGUUUAGUCCAGUUUGUUUCCAGUUUAGGGUAUGGUUUGGUUCCAAGCUGACCGAAAUUAUUUCUUAAAAUGCAUAGAUGAAAUUAAAAAAAAUAAAAUCAAAGGACAUAUAUUAUUAAUUAUAGGAAUUUUUUUACAUGUAUGAUUUAAUUACAAAGAUAGCAAAAAGACAUAUAUUUGCAAAUAAAAGGGAAAAAAAUUACGUGGUGUUUUUUACAUGUAGGAACUUUAAAUGGAAAUAUUGGAAAAUUUUUUAAAAUUUAAUUGGGCUUGAUCUUAAUUUUUGAUAAUUAAAAUACCCAAGUAUCCUCUUGGAAGUAAAUGAAUCAAAACCCUCCUAGUUUUAUCACAUUCAUAAGAAUCUCUAAUUUACCUUAAUCUUUAUUUCAUCCCUGUUAUAUCUUGACUUGUAAAGUCAUCAUCGAUAAUUGCAAUUUAUUUUGAGGAAAAAAAGGUUUAAAAUUGACAGAAUGGCAAAUUCGUAAAUUUGUCAAAAAUAUAAAGCAACAACAGUCAUGGGUGUGGAAGGCUGGAAGGCCUCUUCCGAGUGUUCCAUGUGGCAUAUGCAGGUAAGGCCACCUUUUAAAAAAAAAAAAAUCUUGGUGUUAUUAUUGUUGUAUGUUGUGCUGGAUAUAUAUUGUAGGAAAGAGAGUUGAUAAGAUUGA
RNAcentral lists this unclassified non-coding RNA (1328 nucleotides) under Hevea brasiliensis (rubber tree). Lineage: Eukaryota; Viridiplantae; Streptophyta; Magnoliopsida; Malpighiales; Euphorbiaceae. The record is from RNAcentral.